UACGUAGGGUGCGAGCGUUGUCCGGAAUUAUUGGGCGUAAAGAGCUCGUAGGCGGUGUGUCACGUCGAUCGUGAAAACUUGGGGCUUAACCCUGAGCUUGCGGUCGAUACGGGCAUCACUGGAGUUCGGCAGGGGAGACUGGAAUUCCUGGUGUAGCGGUGAAAUGCGUAGAGAUCGGCAGGAACACCCAGGGGGAAACCAGUCGACUGGGCAUCUACUGACGCUGAGGUGCGAGAGCGUGGGGAGCGAACCGG
RNAcentral lists this ribosomal RNA (254 nucleotides) under uncultured bacterium. Its description in RNAcentral is "partial 16S ribosomal RNA". It matches the Rfam family "Bacterial small subunit ribosomal RNA", at positions 524 to 776 of the family's 1533-position model. The record is from RNAcentral.